GAGAGUUAAACAGUACGUGAAAUUGUUGAAAGGGAAACGAUUGAAGCCAGUCGUACCUUCGGGUAAUCAGCCUUUCGUGUGCGAUUCUGUGGAGUUUGAGGAGCUUAACACCUUCAUGCUUUGCAUAUUCGUGCUCUUGGGUGUACUUGCCCGUGUGGUUGGUUAACAUCAAUUUCGGGCACCAUAAAAUGACUGGAGGAAUGUAGCUUUGAUCUUGUAUUGAAGUGUUAUAGCCUUCGGUAGAUGUGGUGAUCGAGAUUGAGGAUUGCAACGGAUACCUUUCGGGGCUACCUGUCUGAUCUCUGAUCGUUGCUUUGGUGCUGAAAGCGUGCUUAUAGUUAUCAAAGUCGAUGGUCAAUAGGUUAGAAUGGGUUAAAUUCGUUAAGGAUGUUGACGUAAUGGCUUUAAACGA
RNAcentral lists this ribosomal RNA (412 nucleotides) under uncultured Rhizophagus. RNAcentral's name for it is "partial 28S ribosomal RNA". Lineage: Eukaryota; Fungi; Glomeromycota; Glomeromycetes; Glomerales; Glomeraceae. The record is from RNAcentral.